This is a non-coding RNA of Petromyzon marinus (sea lamprey), 8592 nucleotides long. NCBI's taxonomy places the organism in Eukaryota, Metazoa, Chordata, Hyperoartia, Petromyzontiformes, Petromyzontidae. The record is from RefSeq and is a predicted model, not a curated record.
ACAACGCAGGGCGUGACGUCAUCGCGCAGGUCGUGGGCUCAGCACGACGGCGGAGCGGUGCGCCUUGCAUCAUUGCACGUUCCACGAGCGCGCGUGAUCAUUGUUUGUCGCCGCUCCGCUGCUGUUAAUAUAAAACUAAAAUAACGAAGCAAUAACGACGACAAAACCAAAAAAACACGCACGCCAUAGCGCGAUAUAUGUAAAAAAUAAAUGCUAUGAUGUGCGCGUGGUUUCGUUAAGCAAUUAGCAUUGAGUUGGAGAGCGUUGCGGGCGACUGCUGCCGCGUUGAAGGGGAGCGAGGAUCGAGGAGCAGGAGGAGGAGCAGCAGGAGGAGCAGGAGCAGCAGGAGGAGCAGCAGCAGGAGCAGCAGCAGGAGCAGCAGGAGGAGCAGCAGCAGGAGCAGCAGGAGGAGCAGCAGGAGCAGCAGGAGCAGCCUCGUUCUUGAUUCCCCACGCGGAGCGCCGGGAGGAGACGAGAUCACAGCGGGCACGACGAGAGGCUUGACCAACUGCAGCAGCGGCAGCAUCAUCAUCAGCACCAGCAGCAGGGAUUUAGCUGCGAAGAGUGGCCACGGGGCGAUGGGCUGUAUUGGCUCACGGAGGAGCAUCGUGAAGGCGGAGGCGCUGCGCGAGUGGCCCCACAAGAGCAAUGGGCCAGGGAGCGGAGGAGGGAGCAGCGUGAGCGUCCCUGGAAGCAGCGCGGGGGUGCAGGGAGGCCUGGCGAGAGGGGACCUGGGGAGCUGCAGUUCGGAGACGAGCGGGCCGAGCGCCCCCGCCCUCUCGGGCAACACCAGCGAGGCUUCCGUUGAGGACACCACGCAGAUCCUGCCCAGGGUUCGGAGGUCACGAACUCUCACCGGCAUUACAGCGUUGGCCAGGUCGUCCAUCACAGGCCUGUCGGAGAGCGUGCGUGCCCGUGUCACCAAGCCCAUGGCGCGGGGCCGCGUGGCUCACCUCAUCGAGUGGAACGACUGGGACCACGGCCACGUCCAGUCCUACCACGAGUCGACGCUUUACACAGACGAUCCAUACUGCGACACCACCGACAUGGUGGAUGGGGAGAGAGAGGCGCGCUUUGCUGAGGGUGUGGCACAGCAGUUUGCCCUGAGUGAGGCUCGGCUCAGGGCCUGGUCGUCCGGGGAGGGAGAUGGGGAGGACGGGGACAUGGGGGAUGGGUCAGGGGAGUGGGUGCACAUCCCCAGUGUGCACACGCCCUACCACACCAGCAAGGACUGCGACCUGGAGCGAUUCCCGUCCUCCGUGUCGCUGUCCGAAGUGCUGCAGGCGCGCCUGCGCCGGCUGGCGGCGGCGCGCACUCCACCGGUGCUCUCGCCCGAGAGCGUGCACGGCGUCCUCUUCUCCCCCGACGGCGUCGCGCUCGAGACGCUCGUGUGCCGCGGCUUCGCCGACGGCUUCGCCUCCGUCGAGCGGCAGCGCUUGCCGGACCUCGCCCAGGGCCUCCUCGCCGCCCCCGAGUGUCUCCCCCUGCAGACGUUUGUCAGGAACGAGGACGGGCGCGCCGGCUUUCCCGUGGGGACGCUCCUGCCUUCGGGAGAGGAGGAGGAGGAGCGGGAGGACGAGGAGGGUGAAUUGGAGGGCGAGGAAGAAGAAGAGGAGGAGGAAGAGGAGGAGGACGGGCGGCAGCAUCAGCUCGGGGCGCCGUGGGGUUACCGAAAUUCGUCGGGUGCGGUGCACUUGCCAGAUUUGAAGGCGGAGGUGGCGCCGACAUAGGGCGGUCGGGGUCACGCGGCGAUCACCUCCGUGCGCGCCCGCGCGCAGACGCAUGUACACACGCGCACGCACGCACGUUCAGGCGUAGACUAGCGCGUGAUGCAUGUGUGCAGGCUGCAUGUAUACUGCACGGGUGCGUGCGCGUGUGGGCGCGUUUGUUAAACGCUAAACACUUGCACCGACGCGUGUGCACACGCACACGUGCAAAGACACUCAUGCGCACGUGCACUACCUUCCUGCAACCCUCCCCCCACACACACACACACACGCGCGCACGUGCUGAGCAAGUGACCGGGAGGGUCGCGGUGCUCCGUGGCUCACCGAGCUUGCGUUGUUAUUUUGUUUUGUUUGGUGGAUUUCGGGGGGCAUCUCUAAAUUCGAAUGAUGCGGAGAAAGUCUCUGUUUGCGGGCGCGUGAGCGAGACACAUCUGCUGCGAGGUGAGCGGCCGGGUGAAGUGACUCCAGAAGAGGUUCUGUUUGUGUCAUCAUCUCAGCCCGUGAUAGCGACGUAAAGAGCCUUUGUCUUGUGACUUUCCUGCCAGAUGUGUAAGCUAGUGAUGCCCCAGUUUUACGUCGGGGGAUGCGUUCCUGAAAGGUGCGACUACGAAUAUCGAAAGGACGUAAAAUCAAAGCGAUUUAUAGGGUAGGUGGUGGUGAAGGCGAAGGCUGAGAGGUGACGGAUAACGAGAAAGGACGGACGCUGCUGUCAGCGACGUAAAUGUGGGAGUUGAGGCGACGCAAAUCGGGAAACCGUGUUAAUAAUGUGACGACGUAUUUGCAAAACGACGUAAAAGGAGGAGACGUGAAUCGGGGUACUACUGUACGAAUAAUAAUUUACAGUCUCAUGUUAAUUCACUUCUGGAUGAAGGCCUCCCCAUGCUCUUCAGGUCAUCGGAGUAGUUUUGACUAUACUUCACCACGCUGGUCAGUAUGGGUUGGUGACGGUGGGAGGCCCAGGACUGGUUGAGAUACUACUCGCCACCAAUGUUAGCCAUGGCGUGGAAUCAAACUGAUGUCACAGGUUCAUAGCGCAGUGCGAUAAUUGCUGCUCCACCAAUUCCGCCAUUCGGUAAUACUAAUGUCAAAUAAACACACCGCUGUGGUAUCAGAGGUCAGAGCAAUUAGCCAGCACCACUGAGACCCUGGGUUUGAAUCGGGGCAGCCACCCGUGGCUAACCUGGUGGUCUUGGACCUGUCACCCAUGGACUGCAUAUGUUGGGUUUGCACUUAAUUUUGGCAAAAUUCCAGCUUUUGAGAAUUGAAACAUUGGUGCUGACGGUCAUGCGCGUGUGUGUGUGGUAAAGUGCGCCCCCUGUUGUGUAAACAUGAAACAUCCACGGAUUUCUCAGAAAUAUUUCUGGGGAAAACUCUUGCGCGGCUGCCGUUCUUCGGGGCACAUGGGGGUCACACCCCCCCCUACUCCCCCACCGUGAUAUUUUUAAUUGGAUGCCUUAUGGCACGAUGCCGAUAGUGUACAUGUAACGCUCUGCCACUGAUCCGUAAUUACUCAGGACGUGUGUUCAACUUGCAGGUUUUAUAACCCACACGAAGCAAAAUCCACGUUCUCACGUGCAGUCCCCCCAGCCCAGUCACCAAUUUACCGACGCGAAACAAGCAUCAGUUUUAGUUUUGUUUUACACUAGCAUUGGACUAAUGCAGUCGCGAGGGUUGAUGGUCACGUGGUAAAACCUCCCUUGAAAAGUUUGGUUCACUUUGUUUGACCAGGUGAGAACGCAAGAAACCUGGAUACAGUUUCACCUGCAACGGUGACCUGGGCCAUUCCAUCUACCAGUACGGGGGGUGGCGAUGAUUGCUUGCUGGCGAUGAUUGCUGCUGCUGCGAUAUGAUCCCAGCCGAGUAAUUUUGCGGGCUGUGUUCUAAUUGGACACAAGGCGCCGUCUGGAUAGAGAGUUUCCCUGCAGAGCCACCAGCAGUAAUCGCAUGUGUUUUAGUUUAGUUUAUAAAUAGUUUGGUUUGUUGUCACUCUCGCCCGUCCUCUGACAUUGUUCUCCGGUGAAGAGGAUGUUCUGCUGCCUACAGGAGAAUUCAGAAUUGGACUGAGAGGAGAGCAGAACAGCAAGCCGAAUACAACUACAGUAAUACCCCGGUUUACGUCGGGGAUGCGUUCCUGAAAGGAGGGAGCGGCAAAAGGAAGUGAUUCCGCCGGAUUACCGUGUCACGGAUCGCCCUCUCCGCUCGGACGCGACUGCUGUCUCGGCUCGCGAAAACACGCGCACGCACGGCACCCGUUGUUUGUCAGUCGGCCGAGGGCCGCCACGCGUCUCGGGCGAAUCCAGAGGAAGGAUCGCCGGUUUGGAAUGAAGACUCCAUGCCCAUCCCUUCCCCCCCCCCCGUUGUAAAAACUUUAAAGACGUUUUUCCUCUGCCUAUAACGGACUGAUUCCUGCUAUCUGACUUUGCGGUCUCUUCUUUGCCACGUGGUUUUUGCACUUUGGGGGACGAGGGUGAGAGGGGGUCAUGCACACGCGUGAGACUCUCAAACGGCCCGUUGGGCUGCAAGGUGGCCACGGGAUGAAAGUAUUAUUAGCAAGUUGGUUCUUGACUCCAUCCGUGUGGAAGCUUUUUGUGUUAUCCCCCUAUUUAUGUGAAUGUUCUCCGGGUUUCUCAUGGAUUCCGUUCCUCACGAAGCAAUACGCCCAUGAAAAUUGGCUUAACAUGCCAACUGCAGCGACCCUCGUGAAAGAGAACUGACUCCCUGUGCGGUUUUCAUGGCUCACGGGCAAUAUUGUUCUUCUCUCCCCAAACUAGCCUUCAAAUAAUAAAAAAAGUAAAUUACGUUCCUUUCCCGAUCAAAGCUCUACUCUUAGAACCGCGUGCCCUCUCAGCCCAUCAUGCAUUGUCUUGACUUACACUUGUAUAUAUGCGUUAUAAACUGCAUAGACGUUUUUUUUAUUAACAUGACUUCUGUUGUACAGAUGAGUAAACUAACUAUUUUAACUAACUAUUUUUAUUUUACUAGGUAAGGCCCACUGGACUAUACAGCUCUUUUUCAGAAGCAACCUGGCCACAAACGAUAGCGCAAUGAGGUGGCUUAUCACGUGGCUAUUUAUAGCUGCCAAAUACUCAAACGCAUAUUUAUAAAUGUGGAAGAAAAGACCGGAGGAAAAUACACUCGAGCACGGGUCAGUACAUGCAAACUCCAGAUACACAGGCGUCAGGGAUCGGGAUCGAACCCACGGCCUCCUGUAUACCAGGCGAGGUAGUUUACAUCUCGCCACCACUGACAAUCUCGCUCUCAUCACGCGCGAUAGCUGCGUAGGGAGGCGCGAUCGCCUAUUCAGUCUGGCGGGCGACGGCCUCUGUGAUUCACGCGUCCGUGUUCAGUUAAACGGCAUCUGUUUUCCAGCAGGCACCAUAAAAACUUCCCGCUGUACGGGGCAGUACGGUAAAGCAAGCAGAAUCAACAUGUGUAACGGAGUUUGGUUGUUUUCUCCUCGUAUGCGUGGGGUUUUAUUUUUCUGAUUAUUCCAGAUUCCCUCCGCUUGUAAAAAAAAAAAAGCCCACGAUAUGUUACUUUUACAACAUUUUGGCCUUGCAUCCAAAAAGAGGUCCCGUAUUGAGAGACAGAGAGAGUUGUGAGCCUCAGUGAGGCUGUUUUCUGGGUUCCGCUUUAGUUUGGGGUCCGUUUUUCACGUGAGACCGAGGCCAAAUGUGAGGCCGGCAAACUGUAGAAAGGGUGUGUCAGAGAAGUCCGUUUUAGUUCUUCGGCCGAGCCUUUAUGACACAGAGACCAGGCUGGGCGACUUUGCCCGUGAUGAAUCCUCAGGGAGUUGAGUCAUCGCCAAGGGCUCUCUCUGCCCGCUGGCCACGUUGCUGAGUGGGCCACGAUCGUUUACAGAGGCCAUCUGUGGCCAGACAUUAUUAACCCCUGAAGGUGUGGACAAGGCACCACACGCGACAGUGCAGAGAAAUGGGUCGUCAUGGGCCCGGGGCAGAUGUCUGGCGUGUCGGCACCACCCGAGGUACCAAAACUGAAACGUUAGCUCACUUUUCAGUCCUUUGCCAAUCAACUGCUCGUAUGUCAUGUAUGUUGAACUUCCUUCGCAGCAUACGUGCAUGGUAUGGUGGUGGUGGUGAUGAUAGAGAUAUCGCGAGGGCUCCUGUAUAGAGGCGGCUGUAGCAAGCCGGGCCUCUCCGUGAGCUCCAACCCAAUAAUUAAGAGGGAAGCUGGCGAAGACGCACCACCCCGGUAGCUCAGCUCGGGACGAUGCUGUUCGGGUAACUCCUCGAAGGUCUUCCCACACCGUAUUAGUCAUCGGGGUCAUUUGAACAUACUUCAUCACGCCGGUUAGAUAUCACUCUGCACUGAUGUUCGCCGUGGCCCGGAGCCGAUUCCCAGUCAUCGAGCGCAUGGCUCAAAACACUGUGCCACAGCUCCACCCAUGCACAACUGUAAUGGUAGCAAUUUAUUUCGUCAAAUAAUCGGGUUAGAUCAUAAUUAAUUUCAACUGACCCAUGAUUCGAGUGGCUCAGGGCUCAGAACUCGAAGUGGACACUCCUGGGAUCCUUGAUUGUAAACCAUGAUUCCUCCACCCACGUUUAAACCGGGGUCUUAGGUGGAGUAAAUCGAUGGUCUCAGUCCAGUCACCAAUGGCUGCACACAAAAAAACACCCAUGAUAUUAUUAUUUUUACUUAAUUUGGAUGAAAUCCAGGUCUGAGAAUUAAAAAAAACAUUGGCUUGAAUGUUGUUUGAUAAUUAUAAAAGGGCAUCUGGGAUCCCUGCACUGUGUGUGCAUUAACGACCGCCUGAAAGGAUCUCGGAUGUAGUGCUGUGAAACCUGCUUCCACAUGCCAUCCUCUACCACAUGGGGUGAUGCAUUGCUUUGCGAGAGUUUCCCAUGGCUACGUUUGUCUCACGACAUGAUGCCAAUUGCACAAGUGGAAUAUCAUUUGUUGGUGAGGGUGCGGGGGUGGAUGGGAAAGGCCAAAAACAAAGUCAAGAAUAUUCUCUACCACUAAGAGUUCGGCCGGCACGGACUUUUGGUCCAGCCCACGGACUGAAGCAGGUGGCUGCAGUAGCGGCAGCGGCGGCGGUGGUGGCGGCGGCGGCUUCGCAACGGACUCUCGCGACGCUUCCCGUACGGUGACCGUGAAGAAAGUCGCCGCAUAAGAAGCGGGGAACGCGCGCCGCGUUUAACCCCGCCGCCUCUUGCCCUUUCUCACGAUUUUUUUUUAUUCUCUUAAGUGACGCGCUCUAUCCUUUGAAUUGUCUUCGGUGCACGUUGCCCGCUAAUGUUCAGUGGCUUGAUAUGCAUCGGGUGAAAGGUGUUUGCGUUUUGCGCGUAUUUCAUCGUUUAUUUCCCUAGGAAGCGUGCUGUACUCUUGCGACGGUUUCCGCGCUUCGGUGAAGAGACGCCGGCGUCAUGGACCGUGGAACACUGCAUGGGCCACGCUUUCAGCGAAAAGGCAUCGCGCGCUUUGAUUAUUUCCUGCGACCCAAGAACUGUUCUGAAGAGGGUGGCCUCCCUCGGCUUAGUGUUGGGAACGUUCAGCUUCAAGAUUAAAAAUCUGGAGGAAGGGCCCCCUCACAGAAGGGCACAGCCUUUUUUCACCGAAUCAUCAUCAUCAUCCUCCUCCUCGUGAUUUUCCUCUCCGAACCCCCUACCCGUAACUCCGUGCCCUCUACACGUUUCCGCACGGAGCGGGGAGACGGCAUGGACGGACGCCAGAGGGUUUGACCCAUUCGCAAAAAUCCGUCACUAAACACCAGCGGCUGCUGCUGAUGUCGUCGUCGUCGUCGUGAAAUCGCACGAUCGUCGUCGGGGUUUUAUUUUUAACGCAUCGUCGGUAAGCCAACCCCUACUUCACGUCGAUACGACUCUUGCCUGUUCUAAGUGAAGGGCUUACCUACAACGACGAUGGUGUUGGCGGUCGGUCGGCGAGCUUACUCAAAGGCUGUUUUAUGCCCCGGCCAUAUUAAACGGAGUUCGUGGCGGUGUGGGUUUGGGUUUGUGGGACCUGGGGGGGGGGGGGUCCAAGGUGCGUGUGCACACCCUGGUUCGUCCAGGUCUGCAGCCACUUCUCGGUAUGUACAGAAAGUUACGUUUUAUUUGGGCAAAUCUGUUAUUAAACGUUAUUUGUUGCCAAACGCCUUGCCGCUUGUUGUUUUUGUUUGUUGGCUGCGUUGGGGAAUACGAGAAGCUGCUGUGUGGGGGUGGCGGUGACGGAACGCGCUGCUGCAGCUACCCGAAGGUCAGAUUGGUGGCCCUCGUAGAGGUGACGGAUCUCCAAAGUAAUGAUGCAGAUAUCCCAUCGGUGCACGGACGUUCGGUUGACGAAAUUUCGCGUUCACGAAAAUUGACAAAAUUACGGACACUUUUUCCAUGAAUGGAAUUGAAUGUCGGCAUUGAACGACGUUUCCAAAUGGCACGCGCUACGAGAUGAAACGAGAAGCCACUCGGGCAAUGUAGCGUCAUCCAUCCCUGCAGUGCAGCAGUAACCCCCCCCCCCCACAUCGCCCUUGCCAAGUCAUUCCAACAUGCAGCCGAUCGUUUUCCUUAGAAGGUGAAUCAUUUUCGUUUUAAAUGAUCAUUCAAUCGCUUUAAUAUUUAUGUCCUUUGAUAUUUUGUUCGUAAAAAAGUUGUAUAGGUGUAUCUUUUUAGGUUAGGCGUAGAGUUGUAAUAACUGUCCGAAACACAUCCCCCUGAUUUUCUUUUUUGUACUAAAUCAUUGGAGGAAAAAAUAAUUCAGGUUUACGGAAUUUUGUUGCAUGCGCAUUGUUUGAAGAACGCAUCCCAUUCGUAAAUCGAGGGAUGCCUGUGAUUAUAAUUUCCCAACUCGUAACGCGCUUCUCUCUUCACACAGCAUUCGCUCACUCUUUAUCCGCGCUUGUGAUCGGGAG